RNAcentral lists this transfer RNA (67 nucleotides) under Curtos bilineatus. Its description in RNAcentral is "tRNA-Arg". The record is from RNAcentral. Lineage: Eukaryota; Metazoa; Arthropoda; Insecta; Coleoptera; Lampyridae.
UAAUAUGAAACAAAUAAAUUGUAUUUAGUUUCGACCUAACAUUUUGGUAUUAAAUUACCCUUAUUAA